Non-coding RNA from Ustulina deusta, 85 nucleotides. The record is from the annotation of a GenBank genome assembly. Lineage: Eukaryota; Fungi; Ascomycota; Sordariomycetes; Xylariales; Xylariaceae.
GCCCAUUUAGAGCAGUGGUUAGCUCGCUCGCCUCCGGUGCUCCCUGGACAGCGAGAAGGCAGGGGUUCGAAUCCCCUAAUGGGUG